AGAGUUUGAUCCUGGCUCGGGAGGAACGCUGGCGGCGUGCCUAAUACAUGCAAGUCGAGCGCGGGAAGCAAGCUGAUCCUCUUCGGAGGUGACGCUUGUAGAACGAGCGGCGGACGGGUGAGUAACACGUGGGCAACCUGCCUGUAAGACUGGGAUAACCCCGGGAAACAGGGGCUAAAACCGGAUGAUACUUUUCAUCACCUGAUGGAAAGUUGAAAGGUGGCUUCUUGCUACCACUUGCAGAUGGGCCCGCGGCGCAUUAGCUAGUUGGUGAGGUAACGGCUCACCAAGGCAACGAUGCGUAGCCGAACUGAGAGGGUGAUCGGCCACACUGGGACUGAGACACGGCCCAGACUCCUACGGGAGGCAGCGGUAGGGAGUCUUCCGCGAUGGACGAAAGUCUGACGGAGCAACGCCGCGUGAGUGAUGAAGGUUUUCGGAUCGUAAAGAUCUGUUGUUAGGGAAGAACAAGUGCCGUUCGAAUAGGGCGGCACCUUGACGGUACCUAACCAGAAAGCCGCGGCUAACUACGUGCCAGCAGCCGCGGUAAUACGUAGGGGGCAAGCGUUGUCCGGGAAUUAUUGGGCGUAAAGCGCGCGCAGGCGGUCCUUUAAGUCUGAUGUGAAAGCCCACGGCUUAACCGUGGAGGGUCAUUGGAAGCUGGAGGACUUGAGUACAGAAGAGGAGAGUGGAAUUCCACGUGUAGCGGUGAAAUGCGUAGAGAUGUGGAGGAACACCAGUGGCGAAGGCGACUCUCUGGUCAGUAACUGACGCUGAGGCGCGAAAGCGUGGGGAGCGAGCAGGAUUAGAUACCCUGGUAGUCCACGCCGUAAACGAUGAGUGCUAGGUGUUAGGGGGUUUCCGCCCCUAAGUGCUGAAGUUAACGCAUUAAGCACUCCGCCUGGGGAGUACGGCCGCAAGGCUGAAACUCAAAAGAAUAGACGGGGGCCCGCACAAGCGGUGGAGCAUGUGGUUUAAUUCGACGCAACGCGAAGAACCUUACCAGGUCGUGACAUCCUCUGCAAUCGGUAGAGAUACCGAGUUCCCUUCGGGGACAGAGUGACAGGUGGUGCAUGGUUAUCGUCAGCUCGUGUCGUGAGAUGUUGGGUUAAGUCCCGCAACGAGCGCAACCCUUGAUCUUAGUUGCCAACAUUUAGUUGGGCACUCUAAGGUGACUGCCGGUGACAAACCGGAGGAAGGUGGGGAUGACGUCAAAUCAACAUGCCCCUUAUGACCUGGGCUACACACGUGCUACAAUGGAUGGAACAAAGGGAAGCAAAACCGCGAGGACAAGCAAAUCCCAUAAAACCAUUCUCAGUUCGGAUUGCAGGCUGCAACUCGCCUGCAUGAAGCCGGAAUAGCUAGUAAUCGCGGAUCAGCAUGCCGCGGUGAAUACGUUCCCGGGCCUUGUACACACCGCCCGUCACACAACGAGAGUUGGUAACACCCGAAGUCGGUGAGGUAACCAUUUGGAGCCAGCCGCCGAAGGUGGGACCAAUAAUUGGGGUGAAGUCGUAACAAGGUAGC
This 1527-nucleotide ribosomal RNA is filed under the name Virgibacillus sp. RJ9. RNAcentral describes it as "bacterial SSU rRNA". It matches the Rfam family "Bacterial small subunit ribosomal RNA". Lineage: Bacteria; Bacillati; Bacillota; Bacilli; Caryophanales; Bacillaceae. The record is from RNAcentral.